GCCUUCGUUGUGUAGUAGUCAGCCCACUCGGCCCGUAUUCGAGAGGUCCGUGGUUCGAGUCCCGGCGAGGGCA
Non-coding RNA from Stegodyphus mimosarum, 73 nucleotides. The record is from Rfam. Lineage: Eukaryota; Metazoa; Arthropoda; Arachnida; Araneae; Eresidae.